GAUGAACGCUGGCGGCGUGCCUAAUACAUGCAAGUCGAGCGAACGGACGAGAAGCUUGCUUCUCUGAUGUUAGCGGCGGACGGGUGAGUAACACGUGGAUAACCUACCUAUAAGACUGGGAUAACUUCGGGAAACCGGAGCUAAUACCGGAUGAUAUUUUGAACCGCAUGGUUCAAAAGUGAAAGACGGUCUUGCUGUCACUUAUAGAUGGAUCCGCGCUGCAUUAGCUAGUUGGUAAGGUAACGGCUUACCAAGGCAACGAUGCAUAGCCGACCUGAGAGUGUGAUCGGCCACACUGGAACUGAGACACGAUCCAGACUCCUACGGGAGGCAGCAGUAGGGAAUCUUCCGCAAUGGGCGAAAGCCUGACGGAGCAACGCCGCGUGAGUGAUGAAGGUCUUCGGAUCGUAAAACUCUGUUAUUAGGGAAGAACAUAUGUGUAAGUAACUGUGCACAUCUUGACGGUACCUAAUCAGAAAGCCACGGCUAACUACGUG
RNAcentral lists this ribosomal RNA (497 nucleotides) under uncultured bacterium. Its description in RNAcentral is "partial 16S ribosomal RNA". It matches the Rfam family "Bacterial small subunit ribosomal RNA", at positions 28 to 507 of the family's 1533-position model. The record is from RNAcentral.